GACGAACGCUGGCGGCGUGCUUAACACAUGCAAGUCGAACGCUGAAGCCCUUUCGGGGGUGGAUGAGUGGCGAACGGGUGAGUAACACGUGGGUGAUCUGCCCUGCACUCUGGGAUAAGCAUUGGAAACGGGGUUUAAUACCGGAUAGGACACAUCGCCGCAUGGUGUGUGUGUGGAAAGUUCGGGGGGUGUAGGUUGAGCCUGCGGCCUAUCAGCUGGUUGGUGGGGUGGUGGCUUACCAAGGCGACGACGGGUAGCCGGCCUGAGAGGGUGACCGGCCACACUUAGACUGGGCCACGACCCAGACUCCUCCGGUAGUGAGCAGUGGCGAAUAUUGGGCAAUGGGCGGAAGCCUGAAGCAGCAUCGCCGCGUUAGUGAUGGCGACCUUAGGGUUGAGAACCUCUUACAGCACCGACGAAGCACAAGUGACGGUAGGUGCAGAAGAAGGACCGGCCAACUACGUGCCAGCAGCCGCCGUAA
Molecule: ribosomal RNA, 481 nt
Filed under: uncultured bacterium
Lineage: Bacteria
Description: partial 16S ribosomal RNA
Rfam family: Bacterial small subunit ribosomal RNA
Source: RNAcentral